GAAAAGUGUCUACUAUACAAUGCAAUGAUGGUCUUAUCAGGGAUCAGUUAAAUGACUGCUUCCCAUAGAGACCCACCGUGAUAACGAAUAGCCCCUCUGAAGGGGCUGGCUCCUAUCCACCCUGUCUAUUCUUUCCAUUUCAAACUGGUGCAGAACAGCAUGAAAAAGCAGCAGAAAUCAACAUGCUUAGGCACGCCAGGUGCAAUAAUCAGGGGGCAUAUCCCUGCCACACCCCACUAUUGAGACUGAUGUACUCAUUCAGUCCUUGUUAAAAAGUACAGCCAAACCCUUUUAAUGUCACUUCAAAAGACACUGAGUAAAAACGGUGACAAUAAGGGGAGUAAUCAGGAGUUCAAUAAGCUGGCAAAAUAGGCGUGCGGUGCAGCAAAGCCACCUGCAUUCCUGUGGAACUGCAGAACUGCAGUUUUUAGUGCUAUAAAAGUACUCGCUUCCAUGAUGUGCUGGAUGUACUAAGAGAGACUUGACACGGCUUCAGUUUGAAGUCAUGUUGUAUUGCUUCGCACCACCAUCUAUAGGGACACCCUCCCCCCUCAGUAACGGCAUUAAACCACUGUAUUACAUUCCCUUUUUUUGCCAUCCGUAAAAACAAAAACAAAAAAGUUGCCUUAACAGAAUUUUUUUUCAAUCUGGACCGAAGCAACAAAAAAUGUACUUUGUAUGGAAAACCAUUGCUUUAACAACAACACAUUUCUGCUUAAGUAUUGAAACUUCGAUCCCUGUUUUACGAGAAUAUGGGUGCUUUUCUAUUGCUAGUAUCUAUGUGAAUCUUUCACAUGUGUGAGAUCAUCUUUGGCUAGUAAUGAAACGGUUGCUUUUCUGUACACUUUAAUUAAGGCAGAAGGAGUAUUUUGACCUUCCACGACAAGGAAACAACAGACACAAACUACUCUUCCAUCCUGAAGCAACAGGGUAUAGCUGUUGCGCACUUUGCUCUCUGUGGUAUGAUCAAACCGAAAGUAUUAUUGAUAACACGCAAGAACACUUAAUGUCUGUAAAGAUAUAGCCCUUUUUCAAUAUACACCAAAGAAUAUUCCACCCGCUUCUCUAGAAGAAGGCAUGACGCCGACAAAAACAGCAAAGAGUGGAUCAGUGUCCAAUCAGAAACCGCUGUUGUGUGGUCAGCUGGAACUGACGAAGAAAACGGCUGUUGGAUUUUGAGGUUCAGCGGGUUUGUUUGUUUUUUUUUAAUAUACUUGGCAAAUGUCAAAACACGCUUUAGUUCACAGAAGGAGAAGCUAGAGGACGCUUCUCAACUGUUAGCACAAGUCUACUGAAAAAAUUUGACCCACAAGAUUUCAAAGAGGCAUAUCUCCUGGAGUGACCAGAACAGGGGAAGAAAAAACCGCCAGAGGGGUGGCCUGCCUAUGAAGUCACAAUUCUUCAAGUCUCUGAUAAAGAGAAGCACCUAUUUGAAAAGAACAUGGCGACCAAGCAUGACAUUGCUAUUGGCAUAAAUAAGAAAAGAAUCGCUAAGCCUACAAAACGGCUCUAUGAGGACUCUGAAUCAGGAUGGGGCAAACAAGGCAAGAAAGGUGAAACCCAGAGCGAAAAGGUCAGAUAUCGGAAGAGCAAUGAAUGGAAAAAUAAAUGAGCUGCAAAUCAAGUCUCGCCAAGUAACCCAACCAUAACCUGCAGAGAGGACCUUUUUUUCCCUUCCCCCUUUUGGAUGAUUCUGGUUUUCUUAGUAAAUGCCAUUGUACAUGUUUGGCACUCAUAUUUGAAAACUAAACCCCUCACUUAUAUAUUUAUGUUAUAAGUGUAUUUAUUAUA
Molecule: long non-coding RNA, 1791 nt
Organism: Polyodon spathula (Mississippi paddlefish)
Lineage: Eukaryota; Metazoa; Chordata; Actinopteri; Acipenseriformes; Polyodontidae
Exons: 3
Source: RefSeq, a predicted model, not a curated record